This 44526-nucleotide long non-coding RNA is filed under the name Brassica napus (rape). RNAcentral describes it as "long non-coding RNA (BNAP_LNC020621)". Lineage: Eukaryota; Viridiplantae; Streptophyta; Magnoliopsida; Brassicales; Brassicaceae. The record is from RNAcentral.
CUAUUAACCCCACUGAAUAUAUAUUUUCCAAGGGGCCGUCGAGUUUCUUAUAAACCAAACCACCAAUUCAACCUUCUAUCAUUGUUUCAUCGCCAUCCCUCUCUCUCUCUCUCUCUCUCUCUGGUAAUAACUGUUUUUGCAGAAUAUGGAAUCAUUCCACUUCUGUAACGUUAGCAUAUGCUCAUGGUUUCCUCAUGCAUCAACCAUACCUUUUCCUUUUCCCAACUCCUAAUCUUCUCUUCAUCUGAGUUUUUUUUCUCUUUUAUCAAAAAUCACGUAAACAUUCGAUUUGUAAAUGGAGGAAGAACGGCGCGUUGUUCUGUUCGGGAAAUACGAAAUAGGAAGGCUUCUAGGCAAAGGAACCUUCGCAAAAGUCUACCACGCAAAACACAUCACCACCGGCGAGAGCGUGGCGAUCAAGAUCAUCAACAAAGACCACGUCAUGAAACGCCCCGGCAUGAUGGAUCAGAUCAAGCGCGAGAUCUCCAUCAUGAGGCUCGUCCGCCACCCCAACAUCGUCGAGCUCAAAGAAGUCAUGGCGACCAAGACCAAGAUCUUCUUCGUGAUGGAGUUCGUCAGAGGCGGCGAGCUUUUCGCCAAAGUCGUCAAAGGGAAACUCAAGGAAGACGCGGCGCGCAGAUACUUCCAGCAGCUGAUCUCGGCCGUCGAUUUCUGCCACAGCAGGGGCGUCUCCCAUCGCGAUCUGAAGCCGGAGAAUCUCCUCGUCGACGAGAACGGAGAUCUCAAGGUCUCCGACUUCGGACUCUCGGCCUUGCCCGAGCAGCUUCUCCAAGACGGGUUGCUACACACUCAGUGCGGGACGCCUGCUUACGUGGCGCCCGAGGUUUUAAGAAAGAAGGGAUACGACGGAGCGAAAGCGGAUAUUUGGUCGUGCGGCGUCGUUUUGUACGUGCUCCUCGCUGGAUACCUUCCGUUUCAGGAAGAGAAUCUCAUGAACAUGUAUCGAAAGAUCUUCAAGGCGGAGUUCGAUUUUCCUCCGUGGUUUUCGCCGGAAGCGAGGAGGCUGAUCUCGAAGCUCCUCGUCGUCGAUCCCGAGAAACGGAUCUCGAUUCCGGCGAUCACGCGUACGCCGUGGUUUCGGAAAACCUUCAAAGCUCCGAUGAUCGCGGCGAUUAACUCGCCGGGAAACGAAUUGGAGGAGGAGGAGGACGGAGCGGCGGUGUCGCCGAAGUUUUUCAACGCGUUCCAGUUCAUCUCCUCGAUGUCGUCGGGGUUCGAUCUGUCGAGUCUGUUCGAGAGCAAGAGGAAGGUGAGGUCCAUGUUCACGUCGCGGUGGUCUGCGGCGGAGAUUGUGGCGAAGAUCGAAGGGAUCGGGAAGGAGAUAGGGAUGAAGGUGAAGAGGACGAAGGAUUUCAAGGUGAGGAUGCAGGGGAAGACGGAGGGGAGGAAGGGGCAGAUAUCGGUGACGGCGGAGGUUUUCGAGGUUGCGCCGGAGGUUGCCGUCGUGGAGCUGUGUAAAUCGGCUGGAGACACUCUGGAGUAUAACAAGUUGUAUGAGGAGCAAGUCAGGCCGGCGUUGAAGGACAUCGUGUGGUCGUGGCACGGUGACAGCAAUAAUAAUAAUAAUAUUAUUAUUGAUGACAGUAAUAUUAAUAAUUAUAUUAGCGAUGAAAACUCUGGUAGUGACUGUGAGAGAAUAUAAUGAUAGUAAUGUGAAGCUGUAAAUUUUGUUUGUUUAAUCGCCGGCUUGUUAUUAGACUCGGGAAGAUUUUGUAAAUCGUGGUUAUCACCUUAAGCAACUUAAAUUAGUCAUACAUUUUAGUAUCACAUUUAAUGUUUGUUUGACCCAAAAAUGGCUGAAUGUUUUACAUGAAUAUGCGAAUGUAUAGUUUUAACCUCUAUUGUAUGAAGAAUUACAAGAGAUUUUAUAUUAAAUUGAAGUUGUGUACUAGCUAGUAGUAUGUUGCAUAACUGCUACCAAUGUGGUUUGCUUUAAUUUUAGGAAUGACUUAGGCCAAACAUAUAUUAAAGCUGACAAAAUAACUAAUAAAGUUAAUAUGAAAUACUUGACAUAAGCCAAUAGAAAAUCUUAUGAAAAUAACUGGAAUUUUGUUGUUAGUGUGUAUUUUCAUUUCUGACUAUUUAGUAAAUAAUUUUUUUAGGUAAAUCAUUUCAUAUCAAAAUAUCAUGUAGAAAGCAUAUAACAUGAUAAAUAACAUGAUAAAUGUUCUUCAAAAUGUCAAUUAAGGGGGGAUUCAAAAACAUAAAUAUCUACUAAUAUGUCAAUUUUUUUGUUUAUCUGUAAUUUAUAAUAUUUAAACAUGUUAUAAAAUAGAAAAAUGGAAAUUUAACUUUAAAGCUUUACAUGAGAUAUUUAAAGUCCGGUUGAAUCUAACUAAUGCUUAUUGUAUUCACGUAACAGUAUAUCAAAAUAUCUAGUAGCACUACUAAUCAAUGACAUUUUGUCAUUUUUAGCACAUGAUUUAACGUUAACUACAAGAACUUCGUGAGUCAUUUUUCCUGUUUAGUUAAUUGAGAUAUUGUGUCACUCAGCAUAUGCAUAUUUUCUUUAAUAUUACAAUUAAUUUAAUAACUUUUGAAAAUGAAAUACGUUACUUUGACCAGGUCCAGGACAUAUUUAAUACUAACAUUUUGUUGUUCACCGCCAGUAUAAUUACAGACAGAUUUCAGUGGGCGAGUGGUUUAACUACAAAUUAGCGACACAUAACGAUUGGACUAGUGGAUACGAUAACGUUAGCUUGCGUGAUGGAGAAAAAGUACCGGACACAAAACUUGCAGAUAAUUGGUGAGUUUUGAGAAGAACCGGCACGUGUUUGUGUCGUAGAGAGUCCAAAACAACACACCUUUCCUUGUAUUACAAAGUCAAAUUAUAGAAAGAGUAAUUUCAAAGAACAAAUUCACGACAAAAGCCAUUUUAAACGAGGAAGAUACAUCAUGAAACUUCGACGAGUCCAAUUGUUUAAUUGUCAUUGCAUCUAUUAUUGCGUAAUGCAAACAUUCUGGAAAAGUGAUAUAUGCACAAAUUACAAGCGUUAAGAUAUCGGUCCGUAAAAUGCGUUAGAUUGAGCUACAAUUUUCUUUUUAGAUUAGACAUAACAAUAUAACAUAAAAAAAGAUUAGAGGCAACAAUAUAGCAUAAGAUCAGAAAUCUAGAUUGCUAAAUAAUAGAUAUACAAUAUGUUACUUAGAAUUAUACGAAUUGUUGAUUCUACACUUAUCAUCUUUCUUACUGCAAAUAAGAGAGUAUAUACAGAUUAAUAGUUUGUAGAAAUCUCUUACAAAUCAAAGAUAGAAUUUAAAAAAAAAAACGUGACCGGACUAGUAGUUGUUGCAUCGAUCAACAAUUCUUAAGAAAAUCUAAUCAUCAUAAAUGACAGAAAGGAGUGAUCAAAUCGUCAUAACAUAUCAAAAUAAUAGAUGACUCAAAAAGUAAACCCUAUCGUGUAAGAAUUGUUGUCGUAAAUGUCAUAUAACCCAUGCAUGGGCUAUAAUGAAAAAUAAAAAGAGAAAUGACUAUAUACAAAAAAUGAGAUAAAAAAAAAAGUGAAAAGAUACUGUUUGUGGGUGUUAUGAAUCAAUCAUGCAUUGUUUAGCCUCGAUGCAUGGAAUACAAGUCGAGCUAAAAUAGAUGGAACAUGCACCAACAUUAUCACUGGACCACCAAACUCUAUCCCCCAAAAAUAAGGUUAUUUUCAUCCAACAUUAUUAAACUAAAGAAACACGGAAUCAACUCCACAAUUAGCUAUAAUAACCCAAACAAAUAUAUUUCUUGUACUCUAGAUAUAUCAUAUACACACAAAAACGGCUCGGUCCACAACAAUUUGGUUUCUGCUAUAUAUCCUAAGCCGGUGGGUGUGUGUGGUGCAAGACAAAGGAACAGUGACGUAUAACAGAUUGAAUAAGGAUGAAGGCAAUGUGUGGUACUAAUUACCUAACUGCUUACCCGUCAUCUGAUGUCGGCCCCAUUUCAUGUGUCAAUCUAUCUAUUUAUGUGUCUCUGUGUCUUUUGUUCAUUUCUAAUACCAACGACCUUCCUUCGGUCCUACUCCAACCAAAAUGUAAGUCCUACACAACAUGCUACGUCCAAUAUUUCUUUAAUACUAUACCGAAAAUAUCCCCAACUAGACCAUGCAUGUUUACAAGCACAAUCAUAUAUCCUUUACCAUCGUGUUUAAAAUAAUAGACUCCAUAAAUUGUGUUGCUCAUGUGUUGGAUGAAUCCAUGUAAUAGAAGUCUUUUUGACCUUAGGGAUUCUUAUACUUAGGCAUGAUAAGAUUUCAGUAACUUCUAUUGUUCUCUUUCCAAAAGUUGUGUGAUCAUCCAAAAUAGUUUAUUUACAUUAAUGUAAGAUCAAUAAAAAAAAUACUCCUUUACACGGUUUAUAAUUCUGAUAGAUUGAUUUGUGUGUAUGUAAGUUUAUUAUUCGGUAACACAUCAAUGUAGACUAAGGUUUUGGACAUAGUUAAUCAAUGAGAAACUAUCAGAAUUUAGAAUGAUCAUUCCUAAACAUUUGUCUGAAGUAUGCCCUAAGUUUGAAAUCUGAUAUAAAUUGAAGACUUAUCUGCAAGGAGUAGUAUUUUAAACAUCUUGUCCAAAUUCUUGAACUGGAACUACAUAGGGAGAGUUCCAAUCUGCAUCAAAGAUCUCCUGAAGCUUCAACGCAAUCUCUGUAUUGUAUGUUCCAAAGCUCACACCACUUGUCGCAUAAAAAUAGUCCCAAACGAGAUUACUGGUUCCUAUGUGAGCCCUAACGUCACUGACCACAUACUUCCCAUGAUUCACCCUCGUGUAACCUGGAAACAUGUUUCCGGUUUUAGUCUCGUUUCUGACAGCAGGUCCUGUCUUGUUAAAACCAGGAACCAUGUAGUAUCUGAUCUCCACUUGGCCAAAACAUUUCCUUUGCAAAGAGGAAGAUGAGCAAAGAACAUUGGAGUAAAGCAGCGACCUCAAGUAUCCAUCAGUGGCCUGAAUGAAAUGACCCCAAUAUGCUACUAGGAUCUUCACUUUGGCUUUCUUGGCGAAUACAACCUGCGAAGUCAACUUAUGUUUUUCAUAUUCUUGCAUUUUCAGGCGAGUAUAAGAUCAUUAAGAACAGGUUUAGUACCUCGGAAACCGCAGAAGAAAGUGAUGACCAGUAAACCGUGGGAUUAGUGUACUGAGACUGACCAAGCCAAUCCAUUGUAUUGAUCCUCACUGUUCCUCCUUCCACUACUGAUUUAAUUGUAUCUACCCAUCCUUGUUCAUCAGAUUGAUGCUUUCCAAACAAAAGCUACAUUUUCAAGAAAGCCAAAACCAUAUCAUAUAUAUAUAUACAAGAGCAAAGAGUGUUGAAGUGUUCUAAAAUUUUCUUGUUUUUCUUUAACCUCUGGUGGUGCAAAAGAAAGAUAACUCGGUUGCAUUUCUUGACAAGAAUGGUUUCUAGGGAGAGUUUCGAUGUCGAUAUUGAACAUCUCAGGAUCAGAUAGUGGAGGAUAGCCUGGUGAAACAUUGGGUGUGUCUAUGUAACUUGGAAGAGGUGACCUGAAAAAGAAAAAAAAACUAUUCUCUAGUAAGAUAAGAAAGAAAAAAAGAAUAUUGUUUUUAGGUUUAGUGUAACAUUACUUGCAACUUGCUUUGCUAGGUAUAAAACGUGACCAGCAAGGAACAGUUCUAUUGAUCAGCCAUUGUUGAUCUGAUACAUUUCUUGUGUGAACUGAAGAGUCAAGAGAGGCUAAUCUCCACAAGCUAUCGAAAUAAGUUUUGAUCUCUCGAGCAACUCGUGAACAUCCACUUAAGUAGAUGCCAACUUCUUUCACCUAGCAACAUCCAAAGAGUUGACAUUGUUCUACACGGUUCCAAUGUGCAUAUGUUUUAGACAUUACCUGAGUUAGCGACUUCCAAUCAUUGUUGGCAGAUCCAAUAUACACGUCGCGAUCAUCCGAAAUCCAAACUUUGGCAUGAACAAUCCCUGAGCCGUACCAUUUGCUUAGUAGCAAAGUCACGUUCUUCACGUUUGGUCUUCCAUAAGCAAGAUCAGAUGGUUCUUUGGUGUACUCUGGAUACACUCCUGAAUGAGAUAAUAGUCUAUGCACAAACAUUUAUGACUCAAAACAAUUGGCUCCAAGAAAUGAACUUAACUAUGCAGGUUUAGACAAAGAAACUGUGUGUUCUCGUAGUGAUUUACCUGAUGCUAACGUUACGGUUAGCAGCAUUGUCGAUGGAUUUGUAAACUAGAGAGCCAAGAUGAGCUCCAAACUGCUGCAAAUCUGAAUCGGAAUAGCCGAAAUCGCCAGAGCGAGGAUCCUUUGGAUUAGCAAGAAGCUGCCAGUACUGUGCUAUGAUGUCAAGUGAUCUUGUUGAGUUGUUUGCAAGCCACUGAAACACAUCACCUGCACACUACCAGACAUUAAAACAAAUAAAGAUCUGGUCUUUGUAAUAAUAACUAACAAAGUAUCCAACUUUUCCCGGGAAGUUAUCAAAAACAAAGUUUUUUUUUUGGAAAAAAACAAUCUUUCUCUGAAUACAAGCAACGAAAUGAUUAUGCAUCCUUCUAUAAGAAAACCCUUUACUUCAAAUCCAGACUUUUGAUAGAAUCUAACCACAAAUUUGCAGAUUUUUCUAGGGGAGAAAACACUAAAACAGAGUAAAUAGUAAUAUUGAAUAAUAACCUGUGGAAAGUACACCAGGGAUGAGAGGAAGCUCGGGCAUGUCAGUGGGGAUGGACUGAACUAGCCAAGCUUUGCAUCGGUCGGAAGAUUCUACAAAACGUGGUAGGGAGAGGCAAGCUAGAACCAAAACGAAUGAGUAUAGAAGCACUCUCCUCAUCUUUCUCUCUUUGAGUGGCCACGUAUGGAUUCAGCAGCACUUUUCUGUUCAUCAUCAAGAAGACUCAAGAGAACAUAUGAGAACGCAUUAUAGUUUGUGAGCACCGACCGAAUAUUCUUUUACGGAUAAAUUUUGAUCUUGAAAAGUCAAUGCUUCACACAUCGCAAAUUUGAAGUUAUUAACGUCAAGGAUAUCACCCUCAAUAACUAAAAAAAAAUAUCUAGAAUAAUUAAGAAAGUAACCAAAAAAGCUUUUGGACAUAAAUUUUGUAUAGUUUGUGUCUUAAUUGCAUAUUUUCUUUCUCUUUUGUCAUUUAAAUUAUUAAAUUGUAUUGAUAUUAAAUUAUUAUAAAUUAUAGAGAAAAUGACUGGGAUAGCACUAAAAAAGUUUUUGUCAUAAAUAUAGUCUCUAAGAAUAAAAAUGACCAAAAUAGCACUUAAUGUUUUAUCAAAAGAGAUAAAUAUAUACUUAUGGUAAAUUAAUUUAGACGGGUUUAGAGUUAAGGGGUGGGGUUUAGGAUUUAGGUUUAGGGUUUAGAGUUUAGGGGUGGGGUUUAGGGUUCAGAGUUUAGGUUUUAGGAUUUAGAGUUGGGGAGUGAGAUUUUGGGAUUUUGGGAUAAGAUUUCAAAUUUUGAAAAAUAAAUAAAAAUUUAAAUUUUUCAAAAGAUAAAAUGCUAUUUUAGAGUUAUUUUUGUGACAUAAACUUAGAAAUAUGCUAUUUUGGAGAUUUGCCCUAAAUUAUAUUGAUAUUAAAAUUAUUAUAAAUAUAUUCGGAUGGAAUUAAUUAUUUUAAAUCUCAUUAUGUUAUUGUUCGUGUAAACAAAAUUAACCAGAAAAUGACGUAGAAGUUUUAUUAUGGGUUAGAGCAGAACAUCUCAGGUAAAUGCUAAUAUAAUGCUUCUUUUAAUGUCUGUCUCCGACCGUUUUAAAAAAAAAUGUUUUUUUCUACUUUUUUUUUUCUUGGAAGAGAGACUUAGUAAGGGACUUGACCGUUAUAAAUAACCGUUAGGACAAGCAGAGUAGCACCAUUUACUUCCAAACGGCUAGUUUCUUCCUCUAUAUAUACACAUCCAAUCAUUCAUUCACAACAGACUCACUUAAGCCACAUCUGUCUCAUCUCUCUCUCUCUCUCUGUCUCAUACUCAACUUAACUCUAAUGGCUCGGACAACUGUACUUGAGACUUCCUGUCUAUACUUCUUCUGCUUACUGUUGUUGUUGGCUGAUCUCGCCUGUUGCAAAGAGAUUCUGGUCGGAGGCAAAUCCAGCGCCUGGAAAAUCCCUUCUUCACCUUCUGAAUCCCUCAACAAAUGGGCUGAGAGUUUGCGGUUUCACGUCGGCGAUUCUCUCGGUGAGUUUUUUCACUAUCCAAACAACACAUCUCCUUCGUUUUGUCUUUAAAGUUCAUAACCUUAUGUGAAUGUGUUAAACGCAGUGUGGAAGUACGAUGGAGAAAAGGACUCGGUUCUGCAAGUGACUAAAGAAGCUUACAUUAACUGCAACACCACGAAACCAGCAGCUAAUUACAGCAAUGGAGACACCAAGGUGAAGCUAGAUAGAUCUGGUUCUUUCUUCUUCAUCAGCGGCACCAAAAGCAACUGUGUGGAAGGUGAGAAGCUUCACGUUGUUGUCAUGUCUUCUCGUGGUGGCCACACUGGUGGUUUCUUCACCGGUUCUGCUCCUUCUCCAGCACCUUCUCAUGCUCUUUUGGGAGCGCCAGCUGUUCUGCCUGCAACCGGUUCAGCUUCUUCUUUGACCAGAAGAAUUGGAGUUUUUGGAUUUGUUGGAUUAGCAAUUGUUCUGCUCUACCAAUAAUAGACUGUUUAGAUUCCAUCUCUGGUUUAUAUUCUUUCGGUUAAAAUUCUUUUGGCUUUUUGACAAUGGUGUAUUUCCGAAUAUAUAUUAGACGAACUUCUAAGAGAUUAUGAGAUCAGUUGCUAACAAAAUGCAAUCUACAACAUACACCAACCCUGACUUAUAUAGGUCCAUAAUAAAUUUUAAAAGACACCAUCAAAGAUAAGAUGAGUUGAGAAAACAAACUUCUCUCAGAAAAAAAGAUGGUGAUGAGGACGACGAAUGCCGAAGACACAAUCCAAAAAGAUCAGCAGCUGCAAAAGAUGAACAGAAAGAUUUAAAAGGACCAAGAGUUUUGCAAACAAGUGACAUAUGCAAUGACUUAAUAGAACAUAAAUGAUACUGAUUCAUUUCAACCCUCAAGGGGCCAACAAAAAACACUUGCCCGGUGGUUUGAAUACCAAAGUUAUAUCAUCACGAGAAGUAAGAACAACUCAUAAAGAGGCUACAUUAUUCGGAAAAAUAACAGUGUUGUUAUUAUGGGAUAUAAUAGCUUGAGAUUCUAUCUAUAAGAAACUAUAUGUUUAUUUCCCUGUAUCUACUUUAAACUCACUAUCAGUUUCCCAAUAUAUCACAAACUCAUUAAAUUAGCACAAUUAUGUCAAUUCUAGAGAUUGCAUUCAGGUGGUCAGAGAUAAUAAGAAGAGGGCAAUUUAUAACUUGGACAAGAGAACGCUACCAUGAUAUAUAUUUGGAAAAUCAGGCUGUACCCAUUUCAACAUCAUCUGAAGUACCCUCAGCUGCCGCCAUUAGAGGGCCCUUCAAACCAUUUUCAUUGUUACCAUUAAGCUCACGAGCUGCCUUUUCAAGAAAUUCCUUUGCAGCAGAUCGAACAGACUGUUUCUCAUUUGAUUGGUAUUUCCUCUUUUUUGCAGAUGUUUCUGAAUACCUCAUCCUUGAUUUCUCUCCUUUGCUGAGGUCCCUAAUGUUUUGCCUUUGAGCUGCAUUCAUUUAGCAACGGUUGUUAGAGAAACAAGGAAGGUAGGAAAGCGAAAACUGUAUAACUGUAUAAAAGCUUACCAGAUGAAAGAUCAGGCAGAGAAUGUUCGAUGAAACGGGUAGCUGCCUGACGGUUUAAGACUGUAGUCGGACGCAAUGGUUCUACGAUAAAAUGGAGAGAAACGAAUAAGACAUCAUAUAGCGGAUAAGGCAUUGAAUUAAAGGUAGCAAUUCAGUCUCUAAACAAAAUCCAACUGAAUAAAAAAAAUUCCUAAACAAGAUAAAACCGUCACAAGUUCGAUUUCCGUUGGGAGGGAUUUAUAUUACAGUCUCUAAACAAAAUCCAACUGAAUAAAAAAAAUUCCUAAACAAGAUAAAACCGUCACAAGUUCGAUUUCCGUUGGGAGGGAUUGAUAUUACAUGGUUUGGGCCUCGCUUCGUACCGAGCGAAGCGAGGCCCAAACCAUGUAAAACUGUUGUAGACAAAAAAAACAAAUGGAUCUUCAACAAAAAGGGAAAAUGGCUUGCUAACAAGAAUUCAAUGAAACAGAUCUUAUAAGUUUUAUAAAAGUAAGUUGAGCAUCAAUCAAUUUGGGAAAUAUAGCAAAGAAAGAAGUUUAUUUGAUUUCAACAGACUAAGGUGUCCCAAAUGGAAUGUAACAGUUUUUUUUUAUAGAAGCAAAUUGGAAAUUAAAGAUGAUAUAGGUAGAUGAAAUAAGUCAAGGUGACGAAAAGCUAAAGCGCAGAACAAUGGAUUAGGCGGGAGAGAAUAUGAUAAGCCUUCCAAUGGAAACACCACUUCAGUAUACAAAGUUGACAUACUACUCCCCUGCAUUUAAGAUGGGUGUAUGCAAUAAAAAAAAUCUAUCAACGAAAAAAAAACAUUAUAUCUACGAGAAGUUAUGGCUAACACUCUUAUAGCACAAUGAAACUAACAAACAUAGAUAAUCCAAUACAAGGUCAGAAAUGCAGGUCUCUAGAAAAAUUAGAAAAAUAGGACUCCCUUUACAGCAGUGUUCUAAAAACCGGUGUAGGCAGCGCUUUGGUAAAUUGGAUCUAAAUGAAACGAUUUUUUCCAGAAUGAUUUUUAAGAAAAUCGUGUAAUUGUCCAGAAAAUCGGUUUAGACACCCACCUAAACAAUAAUUCUCUAUAAGACGCCUAACCAUCGCCUAGCAAUAGCGCCUACCUUUCUCUAUAAAAUAAAAAUGGCUAAGAAAUUUAUAAACUAAGAGCAUAUCUAAGGCAGAGAUAACACUUGUUUUUUGUCCACGAGACAACACAAUCACCAAUUCAAACUGAAACAAGAGUUUUAACGAACCCAAAAACACAAUCUUUCAAUCCAAACAGUCAUAAGUAAACAAGUUUUGAUCUUUCUAGCGAAAUUAGUAAGGAACAGGGUGUUUACCUUUGCUUCGAUCCAUACAACGCUGAAACUUCUCUUUGUAGACGUCAAGCCUCUCCUGCGAAAAAACAGCCAAAGAGAAGUCAUUUUCAUCAACAAACAAAAACGAAUAGCCAAAAGACAUUACAAUUUCAGAUUUGACACGGUGAUCGUCGGGAUUAACGCCUGUACAUCUCAACCUCACUGUAAAACAAAAAAAACAAAAAAGCCACAACAACACAUUUACAUAUCCCACAAAGGAACAAACUUUUCAAUCUCAUAGCAAGAACGAAGAAAGAGGGAGAGAAGGAGGGUUACGAUUGAAGAUUGUUGUGGUGGCUUCGGCGAGCAUGUACAUGACCUUAGCUCGCUUCAACGGCUGCAUCUGAGCAAGAACCUCUGGCUGAGCUAGAGAGAGCAUCUCCUCGAGCUGCGGUUUGAGCUCCUCGAGGUGGGCCAGUGCUUGUUUCACAGCCUCCAUCGCUGAUUUCGGAACUACUCCUGCUGCUGCUGGGGCGGCGCUGCUACUUCCUUCACCUCCUCCUUCCAUCCUUAUUCAAUUAGACAGAGUUGGGAACAACACGGCGGCGGAGAGCUAGGUUUGCGGCGGCGGUAGACUAUUUGUUGAAUUCUUUUUAUUUUGUUUUUAUAAAUAGAGAGGCGUUUCUGAAACGCAAUCGGGAAGAAUGACGUCAGCGAUAUUAAAAUGCUGUCAUAGUCAGUCAGAUAUGGGCCGUUAAAGGGCCGUCGUCACCCAUCUCGAUUGCCCCGACUGAUAGUUAAGCCUUGAAGAAUGACCUUUAUAUUGACAGCUUCAAAAUGGGUUAGAGAGGAUGACGAAACUGACGAUGUACACAAGAAGAGCUACUCUCCAAGGGAGCGAGAAUACUGGUGGGAUAACUUUUAAGGUUGAUGACGAGGAUCUCAAGGCUAAUGAUUGUGUACGUACCCAACUUGACAAUGGACUGGACGAGGAACAAAGGUUUGAUCAAAUUCAUUUAUCUACUUUUGAAAAUAAUUUAGGAAUUCAGCUUAAACAGGCAAAUCAAUACUAUUAAAAGAUAACGGAGUCAUAAAAAAUAUACCUAUUAUAGUUGUUUGUACCCUUUCAUUUUUUAGUACAACCUAUAAUAUAAAACCAAAUAUCAUAACAUGUUUUUAUUAUAGCAACAACUUAAAACUUAUUACAUUUUAAUAAAUAACCACGAUUUAAAACAAUUUUUAUAACGACAAUCGUUAUCCUUUUACAUUUUAGCAACCCACAUUAUUUCAAUCACACGAAUGUACAAGAUAUUUUAACUUUUAAAACAUUUAAUUAAAUUCUUAACUUUUGAAAAUUUGAUUUAAAAUAUAUAAGAUGUUUUAUAUGUUAGUUUAGUUAUACCAAAAUCCUUUAAUAUUUCUACAUUAUUUCAAAGGAGAAAAUGUUUCGAAACAUAGGAUUCAUGUUUGGAUAUGCAGUUCUAAGUUCUUUGGAUCCUAAACGUUUGACAUAACUAAAUAUUUUAAAAUAUAUAGUUUAAGUUAGGGUCGGUUACUUUUUCCAUAACUCAGACCCGAACUGCACCCAUUUUUUUUGGUUGGUUUCGGAUUUAGUUUUUCAGGUCCGACAAACCGUAGAAUCGUAUGAAAAAAUUAUAUAAAAAUAUACAUAUAAAAUCUGAAAUAAUAGUGUAUAACAAUCUCAAAACAUUAAUUCAUAUAAAACUUUUUUAUAAUUAAAAAAUCCGCGCUUCAAAAUCUAGUAUGGAUUAAAAGACACCGAUUUACAUUAUUGCUUCAUGUUUGUACCUUAUCGGUUAGCUGCUUUGUAUCAUUCGAAACUAAAUAGGCUGCUCGCUUACUCUGUUUGUUUUUUCUUGGGCUACAGACAAAAGCUUAGACGCAUAGAAGUUGCUUUUAUAGAGUAUCGUGGAGGAGAGGCCUGACGAAUCUCGAGAAUCAUCUAAAAAGCGACACCGUGGGGAAACCCACAGCCAAAGUCCACCACGGAAAUCAUCAACCGCGGAGACGAGACUUGAGAUGAUAGUGAUGAUUGUUCCUUCACCUCAUGGUUUGUUCCUAUAGAAAAAGAUUUCAACCUGUUUAGUGUUUCAAAACUCAUAAGAUAUGUUAGAAUCACAUUCUCAGACACAGCUUGUAAUUGUGUAUUCCAGUCCCAGUUCUGCAAGAUUCUUCUUGAUGCUUUUCCCCAAGGAACUAUUUAUAUUACAAGACAUACACUGUCCUUCUAUACCCAACAAAUGUGACAAACUUGUAAAAUUUGCACUUUAUAUCAAUGCAGGUAAACAGUUCAGAGACAAUGAAGCAUGUGCUUCAAAGAUUUGUCUAUAACAAGAGAACACUGUGAGCUAUCUUCUAUCAGCGGAAUGAACAAGAGACGCCAACUCCAAGUUCCGAGCUUCUUCUUUCUCUUCAUCAGAAUCAGAAUCUUCCCCCAUGAUCUCACCCGGGAGCUUGAACGUGUUCUGAUCUCCCUUGGGCACAAGAAACAGAACAAAGAGCGGCAAAACUCUCAUCACAUUCCUGAUCAAAACCGCAAGCCAGAGGUUGCCAAACUCUGUCCUAGUCACCUUGAGGACGUGCAGCAACACUCCUCCGAGCCAAGAAGAGGUCAUGAAGCCUGCAUUGUCAAUAGACAUCAGCAACGCAAAGAAUGUCCCUUCAAUUCCGUGAGGACAAAGCUUUGAAGUGAGCACGAGCAACGGCAUCCAUUUUAGGCGUCCUAUCAUCUGAGACACUAUCUCGUCGACCACUAUGAAGAGAUAGUCUGGUAAGCCAAGUUUCAAGUUGAGACGUAGCACGAGAAUGAGGUCAAGCAUCCCUGCCAAGGCAAAGAGAAGUUGAGUCCACAAACAAAUGCCGCGGAAGGGAUGGUCUUUCAGGACUAGCUGGUACAAGGUUGCUCCUAGAAUCGACCCCACCGAACCAAUUGAGAGGAUGAAACCAACAGUUUCCUGAAACAAAACAAGAAAAGAUCUCAACAUGGUAAGCAACUUCAAGUAUGUUUUGAGAGUGGUUGAGUACCUGAGCAAACAAAGGGCCAUCCUUUGAAUCUGUGAACCAAUAGAAGAGACCUUCAUGAAUGUUCAAACUAAGAGCAAGGGAAAUGAACAUAUACAGACUCGGCCUCCACACAUCUGAGCACUUCAUCGUCCUCCACAUCGCUCUCCCUGCGUCUAUAAACUUCUGGUUUACCUGGAUUGAUACAAAACGAGAGUCAGUAGUGGAAACUCAAGCAUAGUGAAAGAGACAAUGACAUUACCUGUUUGUAAGAGAAGCCAGGAACAUGGGACUCACUAAACACCAUCCCUACUACUGAUGCCAACGCAAAUGGGAGUGUCAGCAAGCCAAACACACCCUAAUGUCCAAAAAACCGAAACACGUCAUUUAAAAGAAGUUACAGAUGACAGAGAUCACUGCGAGAGAUUGGCUAACCUUGGAGCCAACAAGAUGAACUAAGAUGCCACUCAUGAAGAAACCAAGAAGCGCACCAAUGGAAGAGCUUAAGCUACACAAGCUCUGCAUAUCCGAGGCAAGAGAAGGGUGUUUAAUACUGUUGUAGGCAGUGCAAGCAUCAAUAGUCACAUCAGCUAUCGCCAUCGCAGCACUUGCUAUUGUCAUCCACAAGAGCGCCAAGUAAAGAUGCAGAUUCCCAAGAACCGAUAUGAAAAGCAUAGAAACCACUCCAAGGACACCUGCCAAAACGAAGUAAGGGCGUCUGUGGAAGCCGUAGAUGGGAAGAACAUCGGUGAGAAUGCCCCAGAGAGGCUUAAUGAUCCACGGAAUCUUGGUGAUGGCCGUGAGAGCCUGAGACUCUGAAGGCUGAACCUUUUGAACAUCUUUCAUGUAAUACUCGGUGGCUACACGGCCUAAUGAGCCGCCAAGGCCUUGAUUUAUACCGUAGAGUGAGACCACGCCGAAGACAAAGCUCCAGUGAAGCUCUUUGGCCAGCAUCUUUAUCCACCGCACUGGACCCCACAGUACAGUACGGAGAUGACUCUCUCCUUUGAUGACUACACGGACGGAUCCGCCACUUUCGAGAUUCUGGUCUUCUACCACCAUAGCUGGUUAGGUUCAAGAUUUGGCUUAAAUGUUGAAACUUUUGAUGUGGGUUUGGUCUGAAACUGUGGGUUAAACAGAUCCAGGACCAGAGUUGGCUUGAAGUGGAUGUUUUUUCUUGGGUUGGAUUUGAAGCUUAGAUCAUAGAACUGGUGAAUCUUUUGAUGGAAGGCAAGUCAAAGAACAGGGAUUUGGGAAUUCAAAAUCUUAGCUUGGAUUAAAAAAGCUCAUGAAAACAAGAAUGAGAUUGGCAAAGAAGAACAUUCGUUGACUUGAUUCUGUAUGAACAACAAAAGCUCAUUGAAGAAGAAGAUGGAGGAGAAGAAAAAAAGUUAUUAAAGAAAUGUCAGAGGAGAGAGCGACGAACGGGAAAAUGUCAAGUUUUGCUGCUAAAUGUUUUGACAAAACACAUCUUUCGUUUGUCUCUUACCAAGAAGAACAUUCUGUCUAAAUUUUUCUACUUUCUGUUUUCAUUGCCUUCACCUUAAAAGUAGAAACUUUAAAAAAAAUAGAAACUAUUUUUGAUUUUAAAUGUUUGUUUCUUUUAUCAGAUACCACUCAGAAAAAUAAGGUUUAUUUGCAAAUUAAAGCGAAUUUUAGACACACAAAAAAAAAAAUUAUAAGGUAAAUUCAUGAAAAAGAAGAAUUAUGUUUUGUAAUGUUUUGCAUCAAAGUCACCGUAACAAACCUAAUCGUUUGAUAUUUCACUAAUGCUUUUGACUUUUCUAUCUUUCUUCACAUUUGUGUUGUAGAUAUGAAAAUGUUUGAGUUUUAUCAGAGCAUCUCCAACCCAAAACUUCAUUAUAAAAGGAAAACAAAACUUCAAAACGAAGAUUUGAGGACCGGUUAUUUUAACCAUGAAUCCUCGAAAAAGUCUUUGAAAUUUUAUUUAUUUGCAUAAUAAACUUUGACAUUAACAAAAGUUACUAACAAUGAUAAAAACUCCACAAAUACAUAUAGAACAUACAUUUAGUUAUACAACACACAAUAUUAUAUUAUUUUGCGUAAACUUUAUUUUAUGUAUUUUUAUAUUGUGUGAACUUUAUUUAAUGUUAUGUAAUAUUUAUUUUAUUUUAUUUUAUUUUUGUAUACUUGAAUUAUUCUAAAUUAAAUUUGGUAUAUGUAUUUAUGAAAAGAAAUAACAAAAAGACCAAAAAUAAAAUAAAAGAUAGUUUUGAAGCUGUGAAUAGUUUACAACCUCAAAAUUUGAAAUUUUAGGUUGGGUUGGAGAUGUGUUUUAGUCUAGUUGUUUAAAAUCAAAGGUUUUGUGAAAUUAUUUUUUGUUUGUGGUUUAACUAAAUAUUAAUUAAUGUUUAUACAUCAAAAUAGUGACAUUUCAGUUUCAGAGAAUUAGAAAAAGAUAUUUAGAAAAUAUAUUUAUCAUGUUGCAUAGAAUAUCGUUAAAUAGUCAGUAAAUUAUCAUAAAUUAUGUAAAAUUAUCGACGGUUAUAAAUAAAAUAUAUCAACUGUAUAGUUGUGUAUAUAACAUUUUAUAUUUUAUAAUAUUAUCAUUAACCAGCAUUAAAGAAAAAAUCUGUUAUUGAAAUCUUACAUAAAGUAUGAAGUCUCCUACUUCAGCAUUUUCCAUAUUGUUCCUUUUCUUCGCAAGAAGAUUGGGUGGGACAAGUAAAAGCAUCUCCAAAAGAAAUUCUAUAACUCCAAAUAUAUAGUUUUUUGAUCUCCAAAAAGAAACUUCAAAAUUUCAAAUUUGAAGUUUUGAAGUUUUGAAGAGUUAAACUCCAAAUAUAGAGUUUCACUUUUCAAAACUUCAAAUUUGAAGUUUCAUCUCUUUAUUUGCAUUUUGGUCCUUACAAUUAUACAUCAUAUUUAUAAUUCUUAAAUAUUUUUUUGUUUAUUGUUUUAAUCCUUAAAACUUUUAUAUCUUAUAAAUAUUUCAAAUUUGUUUUAUAAAUUUAAGUGUUACACAUGAAAUUAAAUAAAAAAUUUAAAACAAGAUUUAUAAUAUUUUAAAACUAGAAUUAAACAACAAGAAUAUUACAAAAAACCAUAAUAAAAACUUAUUAAAAAGACAUAUGAAGACAUAAUUAUUACUCAAAUUUAAAUAUUAUAACAACACUAAUAGUCUGGUAAAUUUGCUCCAGAACCUCCCAAAUCUCCAAAAUAUUGUCCAAACAAAUUUUGUGUAACCGAAAAUGAUUGUUGUUGUUGCUCUUGACGCCUUUUCCGUACGAUUCUUUCUUGUUCAGAUUGAAUGUAUUCACGAAUAUUAACAUCAUCGAUGGAAGCUAAUUUUUUAGCAAUAUUUUAUUUUCCUCUUUUACUUCUUUAAAAGCUAAUUUUGUUGUUUCAUUUUGCAGUCGUAAUUCAAUCAUCUCAUGACAUUUUUCCCUACUUGUUGUACUUUCGUUUAAAAGAUCAAGGAUUUUUUCGUUUGAUGAUAUCAAACUAUCAGCGGCCAUAUUAUGAGGAUAUCCGAUUUCAACAAUUUUUGGCUCGUAGUCUACAAAUGAAGAAUAAGGAGAAUCAUUUCUUACUUCGAAAUGCACUAGUUGAUCAUAUAUGGGAGCAUUACAGAAAUAAUUUUAUGGAAUAGUGUAGUAUUUGCUUGCAGUUUAAUAUUUAAUUAUGUACUUUUAUUUAUAGUUUUAUAUUUUAGUGUAAGAUUUUUUUAAUUAAUAUUUUUGUAAUAUUUAUAUAUAUGUACUAGUUAUUUAUAGAAGUUUUAUGAAUUUACAUCAAAUAUGACAAAUAUAAGGAUCAUAAUGUGAAAUAUAAAUAAUUUUGAAGUUAUGUUUGAAGUUUUACUUUUAGAGAAAAACACAUUGACACUUCAAAUAUAGAGUUUUGAAAACUUCGAAAUAUAGUUUUUUUUUGGAGAUGUUUUAAACCCGUCAUAAGCACACAAAAUUGUCGCUGCUAUUUCAAGAUCAGUCGGCCACCGAAGGAACAGAACAAGGUUUCUUUAACCUAGUAUCCCCUCUUUCGAUACGUGUUCCGAUACCGUUGGAUCCAAAUAGAUCUUGUCACCACUACUACUUCUCUACUGAUCUGAAAUUACUAAAAACCCUAUUUCCAUCAUUUUUAUAAGCAAAAAUAUAUGUCCCAGCAUCUUUGGGACGUUCUGUGACCUUUAUUGAUUAAUAUAAUUAUUUAUAUAAAGAGUAGAAAUAGACAAGAGUUUGCCACCACCAACUGCCAACUGCUACUCAUUAGUUUUUUUUCUUUCUUAAAUGCGAAUGUUUUAUCAUUUCGAAGGUGUUGAUGCUGCCAUUUGAAAACCUAUUUUAAUCGAAAUUGAAACUUUUGAUAUAUAUAAUUUAUAUUAAUACACUUAGUAGUUUUAUUUUCUUAUAAAAUCCUAAAACUCGCGAAUAUCUUGUAAUUUUUUGUGUGUUUUAGACAAAAGUAUGUGUUUGUUUAUUUGAGUGCUACUUGCUAAGUUGUUAUCAGACCGGGCUUCUUCCUUUGUUAAUUUAUAGUUUACCCAUGUAGUUUUUCGUUAGAUGAUCAUGAACAUAUGCUAUAUAGAGAUCCAAAUUAGUUGGUAAUGCUGUUAUGGACAAGUUAAAUGAUAUACAAAAGUCAUUCAUGCCUACAAGUUUAGUAGGAAUUUUCAAUGUCGGUUUGAGAGUUCAUGUAGAAAGAUUAUCACACUGCGAACAAUGGGCUUCAGAAAGUAGAACAAGCCCAACAAAGCAUCGAGAAGUCUCCACAUCAUGCUUAGGCUAGAAAACGGAUCAAAUCGACAAAUCCUCCUCACAUAAUCUGCUCUGUCGCGGGCUGGCAGGUUUCUUUAAUUAAAAAAACUAGAUCCUUUGUCCGCGCUAGACGCUGAUUAUGUCUUUUAAUUUAUUCUUUAUAUAUUUAAAUUGCUUAGCAAAGUUUGAAAACAGAAGUUGAGUUUAGAUUUUAUAGAGAAGUAGAGAUUUAAAAAAAACAAUGAGAAAAUUGUUUAAAAUGUAAAUAAAUCUAGGUAUCAAGUUGUGUGGGAAAUAGAAUAAUAAUCCGAAUGAUGCAUGAAUUAAAGUCACUCUUUGUUGCAUGCUUUUGCAUGAUCUCUUAUUUGCUCUUUGAAAUGCUUUAUGUAAUCAAUUGAUUUGUUGAAGUAAAAAUUUAUUGUUGGUGAUGAACUGAGUAGUAGUUUGUCUGGAAAAUAUUGGAUAUUAUUGUUCUGUUGAUAAAAAAAAAUUUAGAUCAGUAUUAUUUUUUGAUGUGUUUAAAAAAAAUUAUUUGCCUUGGAAAAGUAACUUUUAAAAACGUUGCGAUUUAGUUAAUAUCAUGUUUCUUUUUUUACUGAAUGCAAUCGUAAGAAGGAAAGCUUUAAAUAUUCUGCCUUGAAUCCUUAAGAUCACAUAGAUUGGUUUAUUCUAGAUUGAUUGUUUUUUUAAGUAAGGAUGUAUGAUGUACAUGUUUGCUCAAACCAAAACCGUAAGUGCUUUAUAAGUCUUUUUUUUUUUUUUUUUUUUUUUUGUAACUUUGCUUUAUAAGUCUUUACUAGUACAUUAUGUGACUUCUUUGGUUUCGAGAACUCAAAGUUCACAAGUCCACCUAAUUCGUAAAAGCAUCAAUUCUAAAAAAACUAAAAUGUUCAGACAUCAAACUUAUGGAAAAAACACUAAGGAGAGACAAAAUAGAUUAUAAGAAAGAUAGUUAAUGUUGCAAAACAAAGUCUGAGAUCAAAAAAAAAAAUCAAAGCUUAGAGUUUUAGUAACCAUAAAACUAAGAUUUAACACAUCCUAGCCACAUCUGGCUCGCUUGGGAUCUUCUGCCUCAGCAUCAUCAGCAGCCCUUUUCACCAUGCCAACGCAUGUGGAAGGCUCAUCAUCAGCAACUCCCUUCUGCAAAGUUUCUUGGGCUUCUGGUACAAUCAUAUUCUCUUCUAAAUUGCCUUCAACUUCUUGGAUUUCUGGGGUGAGGACCUUUGUCACAGUCAGAGUUUGGGUCUUGCCAGUCAAAUUGUGAUCUGAUACCUUCACAAUGAAUUUGCGAGUCUGUCCAAUGGUAUCAAUAAGAGCCUGAGGCAUCGGAACGAAGUGGUCAUCUUCUACUUUCUCGUUUCCCUAACAUACAUUAAACAAUUGUCACUAUAUAUAUCUAACGAUCUUGGAAAAUACAGUUUCAAAACCAGGGGAACACAAGUUUGUAAUUACCUCAAAAUAUCUUGCAACCAACUCUGAAGCUUUCCUUCCAACCAAUUCAUGUCCAGCAUCACCGAGGAGCACAAAAGACGCCUGAUCAUCAUUAUCAUACACGGAGAUCUUGGCCAGGUACUUGUGUCAUGAGCAGACUUAUAAUGAGUGCAUUGAAGUAUGAGUAUAAGUCCACCUGAGUCACUAAGAGCAGCUGAGUCACUUACUGUGCAACACCAACAAUAUUGGUUUUCCCACACUUCUUACACAUAAGAGUGGUAGGCCCUUUGGUUGCCUUAGUGUGGCACACACCACAGCCUAUGUAAUACCAGGGUGAACCGUGCACAACAUCACCAAUGGUUGCUAUGCACUCAAACCAAGCAACCUGCAAAUGUUAAACAAUUAAAUAAGAAACUAAGACUAUCAUAUUGAAUACGUUAGUGAUUGAUACUGUACAACCUUGGCAUCUUCCUGCUUCAUAUAGGAAAAUAGCUCGCCAAUGGAAACUGUCUCAGCCUUAGUGACAACGUCUGCAUUCACUCUGUUGGCAAUAGCUAAGUUCGCUUCCAUCCUCCAGCCAACACCCAAAAUCAAAUACAAUGUGGAAUAACAACGGACAUAAUUUAAGUAAAGAACGCUUACCAAGCAAGAUACUCUUUGGUUUCUUGAACAUCAGUGUCCAAAAAUACACGUGAUGGCGUCAUAGAGGAGAGAGCUAGAGCACCUAUAACAGAUUUAUUGUUAUAAUACAGAUGCAAAGUUGUAAUGUAAAAUGAGAUGUAGAAUUAUGUAUAUCUCUGUAUUCGUUAUAUCCGAACCUAUCAGUUACUCCAAUUUCUAAUAAAUGCAGUUCUAUUACUCAAUCUAACCUAACCAGAUAAGAUUCCUUGCCAAUCUAUGUACUUAAACGAUAAAGAAAAAAGUUGGUAAUACGGACCUCCAAAUCGUUUUGGGUUUAAAGCAGUAACCAAAACAACACGUGCGGUUCCUCCAGAUGCUUUAAAUUUCUCACUAAAGUCUGAGGCAGCCUUGUCCCAUCGGUACAACUUCAUUACUGGACCACUACAACAUACAAACACAUGUGUUAAGAGAGACAACACAUGAAUAUGGAAAAUACAUAUAGCUUACUCAUGUGUCUGAACAUGAAGCAGGACGCGGCGUGAUGCAGCUAUCUCGGCAUCAUCUAGCACGAGACUAUCACUGAGAACCUACCCAUUCACAAGCUUGAUGUGGCCAACAUAAUCUGCAACAUAAAACAAACAAACUCGAUGAUUUAUAUAUCGUAAACUAAACAAUGAAGCAUAAAAUUGUAAGUAUAUAUCAAAACAUUAUCCUAGACAAAGAAUGCUGAUUAUAUUUGAUCGUUUGAAAACACAUUACACAACAGUGAGAACUUACCAUAAAGAUCCCCUCGCAAGUCGCAGGCAGCAUCGAACUCCUCAUAUCCAUGGAUCCGGAAACGGUCCUCGGGGAAACAAAGCGGACUGUCUUCUAGAUCAGAGAGGACAUAAGUAGUUUAGAAGGUGAUGGUGAAACUCGGCUCCGCAACACGAUACAAAAUCUUGUUGUUAGACCCGAAAAAAUUGUUGAGCCUAUAAAUGCCACCAGCUUUCAUGUGUGGCAAAUAAGUAUCUACCCUCCCAGCUGGGAUGAAACCCUGGAUGACAGUCUCCUGUUACGAACAGUAAAGAAAUUAAUUUAGAAAUGCUAGUCAGGAAACUUGGAGACGCAUCAACAACAAUCAAUAUAACGAUAAGUUUGAGCUAAAAUUAUUAAUCAACAUCAUGGCGAACAAUUAUUAAACUAAAUUGCAACCAAGAUUUCGGUUUAUACCUCGUGGUCGAUGAGAAGCAUCUCGACACUAAUAAGAACCUUCGUCACAACAUUUCGAGCUUCCCAAAAAUGGAUCAACUGAAACCUCAACUCGCCAUCAUGAGGUCUGUAUUUCACAUCUUUGAAAGUCAUCACUUCACCAACUUUGGCGGUGACAAUGGCUUUUCCCGUGAAGCUAGAGGAGACAACGGCUUUGCCCCUAACGCCUGAAGAAACAACAGACUUCGCGCUAUGAAUGAUCAUACCUACAGAGAAAUAUGAACGUUGCCAUCAUCAAAAAGGAUACCAAACCCUGUACCACAAUUUCAUAUGUUUUUUUAUUUUUCGUAUAUAAGUUAUAUAUUGAAAAAAAAAAUUUGUUCAUCUCAUUCCCUUAAAUCUCAAAUCUUCAGACACUUUUUUUUAUGAUAAUCAAAUGGACUCUAUAAUCUCAUAAGGAAACGAUAAGGGUUCAUACCAUUGGGGUUCUUCGAUUUAGGUAAGCCGUUUAAGACGCCGGAAGAGCCAGCGGUCUUGCCGCUGAGUUUGGUCAGACAAGAGGUGACCGACGCUUCGCCUUCAGAUUGCUUCGAGUGGGGAUCGCCGAUUGAGUGGCUGGAAGAAACAUAAGGUGUUCCAACGGGGUUGAUCGGUCCGAGAACGGAUUCAGCUUCAACGCAGUUUGUUUUCUCAUAGAUGGAUUUUCCGUUGGAACUCAUUGCAACGAAGCUUAAUCGAAAUAAGACUCUGAUUAAGAGUUGUAUAAAGAAAAACUGAAGGGGAAAAGGCGAAUUAAGAGCUUUAUAAACAAAAUCCGAAGGAGAAAAGCAAAACGAAUCCAUAAAUGAGAGUAAAGGAAGAACGAAGUGGAAGAUGUAUUGAUUGUUUAGGGGUCAGAUCGUGAAACGGUUCAAAGAGGAGGAAGAGCAAAGGGGAUGAAGAAUAGAUCUGAAAAGGAAGAGUUAGGGUUCACAGAACGCAAAAGAGAGGAGAGCUUGUUCGUCGUACAGCAAUGGUCGGAUGGGCUUGGGCCCAAACGUAUCAACACGUUUUUUUUUAAAACACAGUAAGCCCACAAAGGUAACACGAAAGUGACAUGACAAAAAUGAUAAAUAUGAUUGGUGGAUUAAAUUGGCAUACGUGGACAGCCUGAUUGAGGAGGAUAUCCUGCUUUUAUUACUUGUGAUGUCAUAGUAAAAGCCUCUUUAGUUCAAUAGUUUAAUUAACAUUUAUCAAUAUUUUUUUUUGACUAAAUUCUUCAAAUUAAAGCAAACGUUAUAAGAGAAUUUUAACAUGAUAAAAAAAAUGUUAUAAGAGAAUUUUAACAAGAAGUACCGUCAAGUGUGGUCUUCAGUAAUUGAUUAAGUCAAAAUACAAUUAUAUCCUGUGAAGUUGUUCUUGUAAUAUUUAUCAAUGUUGUUUAUAAUAAUAUAAUUAACUACUAUAAAAAAACUUAAUCAUAUAAUUAGGGACAGACUCACUUUAUGACUAGUGGAGUCACCUGACACAACAAAAAAAUAAUAAAAUGUUGGUUUUGUAUAAGAAACUAAGAGCAUCAGCAUCUCGGAAACCCAGUUCUGUUUCUUAAAUUUUUUUUAUUUUUAUUGUUUUAUCUGUUUAAAAAAAAAACCAAUCGCGGGCCGCCAUGUGUCGUAGGGCCCGCAAAACAGUGUAAAAACCUCACGUGUCGACAGGAAGCCACGUUUCUUCCCAUUUUGUAGGACCCAUCUCACAUUUCCCCCCUAAAAACCCUCCUAAAUACUUUCGAUAAAGAUGCUCUAACAAAAAUUUAGUAGUAUCUUAUAUAUAUAAAGUAGACUUGUGCUCUUCCCAUAGCCUUCCACGUCACCAAAGAGGAUGGGGCAUUUUUGAACAAGUCAGCGCUCAACCAAAAGCUCUUUUUUAACGUUUGUUUCUUCCUCAUCUUUGGGCUUUGUUUAAUAGCGGGCCAUGAAGACCUAAACUUUCAUCCUUUCUCAUCUCCGCUUCAUCUUCCUGGCACUGUUACGGAAAGCUAACCCUACUUCAUACCACCUCCAAAUCACCGGAACUUUAACGCCUCGUAUUGCCGUUCAGUUCAUGUAAUUAUGACUGUUAUUAACAACAUAGCACGUCUCAUUCAGUUUAAUCCUUCUUCCUCGAUGGUUCCUCAAUCUCUCCACCACAACAGCCUCACCUUUUCCUUCAUUCUCUCCCUCUCGCCAUAUUCUUCCGUCAACCAUCUGACGUAACACCAAAGCAGGACCUGUAACACCAGCAAGUAAGAAUUAUUUGAAUCAUAAAGUAGAAUCCUCUCUUCUUUGAUUAUGGUGGUUUGAUCAAGAACAAUCUGACACUUUGUUACUAGCCAAAGACUCUUGAUUUUACGGCCGCUUCAUCUUCUAUACAGCUGCGGCCAGGUCGUUCUGCUAAAUAAAAAAUUGGGGAAAGAUGGUCGUGUUUGUACCAAAACUGUGAAGAAAUCUUCAUGCAAGGUUAUUGUUUUUUGUAAUCUUAUGUUUUUUUUUGUGUUUGUUCUUUGAAGAUGUAAUGUUUCUUUACAACUUGAUUUUGACAUGUUUGUGAUCAUGCUGAUGCAAUUAUCUCACUGUAGAACGAUGGGAACCGUACCAAAGAUGGGAUCCAGAUUGUGCUGAUGGGAACGAUAGUGGGAACGAAAAUCAGUGUGAAUGAACUUUCUCAAGGUAUUGAGUCAGAGAGAGCCUUAUUGCUUAGAAAAGGCGAGAAUCAUUUUGGGCCGUAACAGUAGCUAUUUCAAAACACUAAACACUGAUGGGAUUAGUUGGAAAAAUUAGUUUCAGAUUAGCAUUGUUGAUUAUGCAUACAUCACGCACUUUAGCUAACUCGAGUUCAAUCUUACAGGUCCUUCGAGCUUUACAGAUGGUUCUCAAAUAUUUGCAAGGGGAAUAAGCGGUGCAGGUUUCAGAAGAAAGUGAGAAGAAGAUUAUAGAGGAGUGAGAAUACGAACAAACCAUUGUUUCAGAGUGUGGAGCAAAGAAGAUUUAUGGGAGAGUAACAUUUUAAAAUAUCAAAGGUCUGCAAGCUUUCGGAGUUUGAGAUGUUAUGUAUCAGCUUUGUUUGAUUGCAAACUUGAUGCAGGUCGCCAAAUAAUGACUGUGUUAACUCAUAACUUAAAAGUGUUUUCAUGUUAACUCAAUCUCAAUGUUUUCUUCUAUAUUUACAGAUUGCUUAUGGUAGCAGGAACAUUAACAAGCCAUGGAUGAAAAAGAAAAAAUGAGUCCCUGCAAGAUACGCUUUCAGAUUCAUAGUGACACCAAUAACAGCUGUGAAAUCCACCCACCAAAAGCCUCUUUACUCCGCAAGAAGGUUUGAUUGCUUUUUUCCUAUGUUACCAUCCAGAAAACAGGUGGGAAUAAGUUUUAAUGUUAAAUUCUUAUGAUAUGUGAACCGUAUAGGUUUAGGUGUAUGUGAAUGUUCAUUGCUUCAAAAUCUGAUACAUUGAUGUUAAUUUCAAUAACUAAUUGAUGAAAGCAAUAUGUUACAUUUUGUUAGAACAAAGCUUAAACUUACCAGGCACAGAAGGAAGAGAUAGGACAGAUGAAGGGAGUAUGGAUGGCUUGACGGUAAACGACAAGUCCUUCAAUAACCUGCAAACUCAAAGUGUGAACCAUCAACACAACCAAUUUCAAAGCUCGACUUUAAUUUUGCGAGAAAGAAGUAACAAAAAAUGAUGUCUGAAUUUCCCAAAAGGUAACACUAAUAGCCUCAUUUCUUCUACACAAGUUAUUUUCUCUGAUCUUGUUCGAUGUAAUUUUCAUUGAUUUUAGCAAUUGGCAAUCUGUGAAAAAAAUAUAUUGGAAUAUCAUCCUUCGAUGCUGGAUGCAUAUCGUCGUGGUGGUGAUCAUUUUAGCUUCGUGUGCACUAGGUUAAGCUAAUUAACAGCUUAGCAACUAUAAAUCCUCAAACAAAAGAAAAUUUAUGUAAUCAAUAAAUCUUAAAUUUGUACAGUGGGUUGAUAGAUUUAAGAGUCUAAUUGCCCAUCUCGAAGAAAAUCAAUGUAAACCAGGAGUAGCAGGAUGAGGAGCAAGUAUUGCACUACACAGACAUCAGGCUUCCUUGCCAAGGUAAUAUCUUCUACAGAAUCUCUUUCCAUCUCUUCUCUCUCUCCUUCUCUGAAACAAUUGAGCAUCUCUGAAAACAAUUGUUCCUGCAGAAUCAAGCAUUGACGUUGAGCACAGAGCAGGCAUUGGAGGAUGUUCUACAUUCAUCGGUGUCCAAUCUUAAACAGGCAAGAGGUAGUUAGUAGUUAGUUAUCAAAAAUAGAGAUAAUAGGUUUUUCUACGGAACAUGAAUACGUAGCUUACUUACUGUUGUUAUGUAUUCUCUGUUUGCUUGACACCAUAGUUGGGAGAAGAUAAUGAAACAGUUAUAGAGCUUAUUGGUUUAGUUAAUGAGAUACUCACUAUUUAGUACAGAGUUUACGUUUUCAUAUGAAUCUUAACAUCCAUAUUACUAGAAAGAAAACAUAAAAGAAAACACAAAAUUCACACACAAAAUUCAUCGUAACAUACUAUAAAGCAAAUGAUAUGAAUACAUAAAUGAUAUGAAUUAGACUUCGAUUUUAAGAUGAUCAUAUAAGAUUCCUAGCUACCAUGUACAGAGAAUAAGGUGCAGGUAUAGAAAUGGUAUCACAUGUAUAUAUGUCGUUGAGCAUCCGGUUAGUGUUGGCAUCAUUUCCACUUUCCAACACCAAAAUGAUCUAGGACAUUCGAAACAGAGGAAAUAAUCUAAUUUUAUAAUUGUCUAGCUACUUAUAUUUUACAAAAUAUAUAAUUAAAACUAAUAUUUUAACAAACAAAAUUCAGUAUGCUCCAAAGCAAUUCAACAAUAAAUUGAUGACUAAAUACACAUCUAUAGAUGAGUUUUCAAUAAACACAUAAAUAAAAUUAGAUAACUAAAUAAACUGAAUUCCACUAUAAAAAUAUUGUCAACCUAAAAGAUAUAUAAAAGAUAAUAUAUCAACCACGCGUCUGUGGUCCAGUGGCGACAAUCAACCUGGGAAGUCAUGGGUUCGAUCCCGCUGGGAGGUAGUUGCUCUUGAGGGACCUUCGGGCCCAAUACGGACACGCCUGCAGACCCGUGGCCACUGGUGGGAUUUACAUGGGGUGAUCACCAGCCCUCCUGGAGGCCUCGGCGGGCUCCCCGGCUUGCUCCGGUGGACGGUCAUUGGUCACUAGUCGGGUCCUCACGAGGUCUCGGAUACCAGGGUCAACAAAAAAAAAAAAAAAAAAAAAAGGACGGUCAUUGGUCACUAGUCGGGUCCUCACGAGGUCUCGGAUACCAGGGUAAAAAAAAAAAAAAAAAAAAAUAAGUAUAUCAACCGAAAAAAUAAUAUGUAAGUUGAGCGAACCAAUAUAGGAGGAAAUAAUCAAUAGUUGGUUUAGUUAAUAAAAAAACUAAAUAAAACCGUGUGAAACAAGGACCGGACAAACAUUGAUUGGGGGAAGACAAAAUAUUUUAAUGAGUUAAAAUUAGGGCAAUUCUUUUCAAUAGUUCAUUUGAUGUUUUUGUCUCCAAAAUAAAUUUUCAAGCUGCAAAUCAACUAAAUAGCCUUUACUAAUUGAGUAAAAAUCUAUAAUAUCUUUAUUUUAAUUGUAAUCAAAUUAGAACAAAUAAUAAAUUGCAACCACAAAAGAGAAAAACAUUGCGACGGUGAUGAUGAGCAUUUCCGACGACGAACUGUUCAAAUCAUCUCCGACGAUGAACUGUUCAAAUCAUCUCCUCACGACGAAUCAAGCUGUGAUUCUCCUGUCGACGAAUCAAGUUGUGGAUCAGUACGUUUCAAUCAUUUUAUCAAUGAUUUACAAAGAAAAACUAAAUUCUACUUAGAGUUUUCGAAUUGAAAUUUGGGAGUUUCGUGUUAUUGUUCUUCGGAGUUCGGAUGAUACAUUUGAGCUUGCUUUGUUGUUUGAAUCCAAUAUGGAAAGCAGAAUCAGAGUUACAAAGAAUAAAUUUCAGGAAGUUUUCCUUUACGGCUUACGAAUAAAGAGAUGAGCUUACCUACCUUACUUUUUGGUAAGAAAUUCAGAUUAGUCUGUAAAAUAAAAUUUCAAAUGACGUUCCUUCUAUAUACUGUCCACAUGGUACUUAAAAAUAUAAGUUUGUUCUCUAAAUAAAACAUCAACUUUACUAUAUGUUUAAAUUCCAACUAAAUAAAAUUUGUUACAACUAUCGGCUUUUUAAUCUACUUUUAUUGAAUCGAUUGGUCACAACCACUUAUGCUAUUCUAGUUUCAACUAAACAUCUAAAAACAAAGUAAUACACAACGGUUGCUAACCACUAUCAAAUGGAUCGACAAAUAUCAUUUUCUUUCAACAUAUUUUCAUUUUCAUAUUUUUGAAUAUAUAUUCUUUACUAAGACCAUAAAAUGUUUGUAAAUUCAUGUAAAAAUAAAAUACACGAAACCACUAGUAGUUGAUAAAUUGCAACUUCUGAUACCAUAAAACCAGAGUUCAAAAGUCCACCAAACACAAUUUAAACGUUUUUAACCCACACAAAUUUAUUGAUGGGUCCACCCUUGCAUAUAAUUCAUAAAAAGUUAGUAUAAUUACAUUCUUUUGUUUAAAUUUGUGAACUAUAUAUGUGGAACACGUAAAUUAGAAUAAAAGAAUGUUUUAAUAUAUUUAAUUACACCUAUUUUAAUAAUAUAAGUUAUAUAUUAUAAAAGUAAAUAUAUUUUCUAAACAUAAACAAUUUUACUAUAUCUAUAACACUAUAUUAAAAACUGAUAUAAAAUUAGAUAACUAAUAUUUUAAAUUUGUAUAUAAAUUAUGUGGGUUGAAAGAUAUCUGCAAUGUAAAAUGUAUUGAAUCGCUCCCGCAUUAUGUUUAGAAUAACAAAAUUGCAUUGGAAACUUUAAUAUGUAUCUAUUCAUUUCCAGCCCUAAUCAUGCCAGGUUGUCUUGCUGAGCUUGGAGACUGUGUCAUCCUUUCUGGUGAAAUAGUACAUUAAAUUUAAUAGCUAAAUAACCCAACGGUAUUCUACAUUAAUAUCCUGGGACAAUCAAUUAGCACAAUUUUUUGCAUGUCUUUUUAUACUUGUCUCAUACUACUUAAAGAAAGAGAGGAGAACAAAACGAAUGAGCAUCACACAUCAUGAAGAGCCCUGUCGACCAUAGUAUCCCCAAGCCAGCCAUACCGGAGUGGAUAACCGAGACGACCAAUGGUGGAACCGCCCGUCAAGUCGAUCUCUAUACAGGAAUCAAUGGAUGGGCUUCCCCUCCAGGAGACGGCUUCUCUGUCCGCUCCGCUGACUACUUCACCAACAAACAGAAAUGUCCCGGAGGAGACUACCUCCUCUCUCUCGCUGGCGUUGACUGGCUCAAAUCCAGUACCAAACUCGGUAACAUCCUAGCUCGUCCCGACAACCGCGUGGCUCACGCGCUCAGAAAAGCACAGUCUCUUGGCCGGUCCCAAAAUGGCUUCAUCUUCGCUGUGAAUUUUCAUAUUCCAGUCAAGGAACACCACCACUCGGUGCACUACUUCGUGACGGAAGAACCCAUUCCAUCAGACUCUCUCCUGAAACGGUUCAUAGACGGAGACGACUCGUUCCGUAACGAGAGGUUCAAGAUAGUGAGCCAAGUCGUGAAAGGGCCCUGGAUAGUUAAAGCGGCCGCAGGGCAGUUCGGCGCGUUUCUUGUGGCUAGGACCGUGAAGUGUACUUACCAUAAAGGACCGAACUACUUUGAGGUCGAUGUCGAUACAGGUAGCUGGCCGAUCUUGGCGGCGCUUGUACGGCUUUUGUUCGAGUACUCCAGGUACCUUACGGUCGACAUUGGCUACGUUGUUGAGGCGCAAGAAGAGGAUGAGCUGCCGGAGAGACUGAUCGGAGGUAUUAGAUUGUGUCAUAUGGAGGUAUCGUCGGCGUUUGUGGUCGAACCGGAGCCACUGAAACCGUACAGAAUGAUGGGUUCACUGGAAGCAAAGCCACCACGACGACAUUAGUAAUAACUGGUUAUGAAUAAACAUGAAAUAUAUAAAAUCAAUCAUUUCAAGUAUAAUAUUAAACCAAUUAAUGUCUACUAUUUUUGUUUUCUAAAGAAAGAUCGUUAUGUGUAACAGUGUAAGCAAAUCGUAUAUUUAAAUUUAGCUGAAGAUAUACUUAUAUUUAAUAUUUAUUCUUUUGAGUUAAAUAAUUAGUGUAUUAUCUCAGAUCAGCCAUCCCUUUGGGUUCACUGGGUGAAGUUUAUUUGAUUUGAAAAGUUUGUUUUUUGGUCGGUAAUAAAAAAACAAACGAUGAAUCGUGGAUAUGGACGAAAAUACCAAAAGCCAGAAGUUUGACAAGAUAUUUUUCGAGUUAAUGUUAGAGGCGGUAAUAGUCAUCAUCGUUCUAAUACUCAUCAUUGUCUAAAUAUGGAUGCCUAAAGGAUGUACUGCGGGAACCAGUCUCGAUUGACAUGGGGAUAGGCAAUCCAGUACAGUGAAGUGUUAGCUUUAGCAUCACCAUCGACAACAUUGGAUAACUCUACUAAAUGAUAAAAAGGACAAGAUUGAAAAUGUCAGAAACAGAGCAUCACGGGGAAAGAGAGAGAGAGAUUCUUAGACUAUGUACAUUGGUGUGAUUAAUUCAACACCCUAAUUUCUACUUUUUACACUCCACAUCAUCUUUUAUCUCUUCCAUCUAACAAUUCAACACCCACUCAAUUUUUAUACUCUACAAUAGUUUUGUUUAAUAAAAUUCAACACCCUAUCUUAUUUUUAUAUUGUUAAAAGUUUUCAAUUAGUUUAAUUAAAACCAUAAAAAUAAAACUUUUUUAAUUAUGUUUUUACAAAUAACAAAAUAGAAAAUAUUAAUAGUCACUAAUUGUUUCUUAAAUCAUCUUAUUAAAAAGUUUUACAAAAACUUAAAAAUGCAUUGCAACGCAAUAAUAAACACACAAAACAACUAAUAAAGCACACAUAACUUGAUUAAUACAAUAGACAUAACUUAUACAAACAAUAAAACUUUCAGUAUCUUUAAUCAUGGAUUACUUGUGAAUUUGGCCUUAUAUGUGUUUGACUAAAUCUGCUUGUAAUUCGUGAUGUACAUUUGAAUCACGUAAUUCGGAUCUAGCACGCACAUGGUUUGCAAAUGCAGGUAGCACUUCGUCGAGAAUGGUUAUUGUGUAUUUGAUCCACUUGCCUCAGAUUGAUAAUAAUCGGUCCAAUGUUGAAGAUAAGAGUCUUGUUCAUCCUCAACAAUCAUAUUAUGCAAUAUUAUGCAAUUUUGGAAUUGGUUGAAAGAGUGAUUUUGAAAUUGAUAGUUGUUGGAAUUUGGAUAAUUAAAAGGAUAAUUAGUAGAAUUUUGAGCAUCAGAAGGAUUAUUGUUAGGAUUCAUUCUUGGUAAAAAGGAUAAUUAAAAAUAUAAUCAAGAGAUUAAAGAUAGAAUGAUAGAAAAUUAUAGUAGAAAUAAAAGUUUUUUUUGUAUCCAAAUCAAAUGAACCAAGUCUCUAUUUAUAGAGUAGAAAAAAUUACGAAUUUUGAUAUAUAAAAAGUAAAUUUAUAAAUUAAUUUAGUUAUAAAUAAUUGUUGUUGAAUAAUUGAGAUAAGAAAAUAAAUCCAGAAUCUACACAAACCAAUAAAAAAAUGACACAGAUGCAAAAGUGGGCUCCAUUUUGUGUUUAUUCAAAUCCACAUCGACGUUCAACAGCUUCAUUAUUUGGUCUCUUCUUAUUCAACACCUUCAAUGUAUAUAGACUUAUAUAGAAACAAGCGUGAAUUAUUCUCGUAAGAAAAUAAAGAAACUUAAGAGAAUCAACUACAAGAGUUAUUCUUGGGUUCACCCCCUAGGAUGAACCUAAAGGUUAACCAACCAAUAGAAAAUUGUCAUUUUAAAUCUAGUAUCUUUUAAUUAAGGAAACCAAAUAACUUGGCAAAUUAUAUUAUUUUUUCAAAAUAAAAUUUUAAAAUAAAUAAAAAUAAUAUAUAAAAAACGAAUUAAAAAAAAAAAAUGUUGUCAACAAAACACUAAACCCUAAUACUAAACCCUAAACUCUAAUCCUAAACCCUAAAUCCUUGGGUAAACCCUAAAUCUUUGGGUAAACCCCUAAACCCUUGGAAAAACACUAAACAUGUUGUCAACAAAACACUAAACCCUAAACUCUAAUCCUAAACCCUAAACCCUUGGGAAAACCUUAAACCCUUGGGUAAACCCUAAACUCUUGGGUAAACCCUAAACCCUUAGGUAAACCCUAAACCCUUGGAAAAACACUAAACAUUUGGAUAAAUUCUAAAUUCUAAAUCUUAAACACUAAACUCCAAAUCUUAAAAAUAAAUAUUUUUUUUAAAUAAUAUUUUUUUAGAACUAUUGUUAUUUCUCUUUAUUUAAUUUUUAAUUUUUUAUUUUAAAAGCAUAAUAUAAUUUGGUAAGUUAUUUUGUUUCCUUAAUUAAAAGAUACUAGAUAUAAAAUGACAACUUUCUAUUGGUUAGUGAACCUAAAAGUUCACCCUAGGGGGUGAACCCAGUCCAACUACAAUUGAGGCAAAUACCUUUUCCGGGUUUGUAGAUUGAUUAUGUAUGAAUAAUUUAUAAUUCAUUAGACCGUAUUUAUAUAGGACUUUUUCUUGGGUUCACCCCCUAGGGUGAACCCCAACCAAUAGAAAGUUGUCAUUUUAGAUCUAGUAUCUUUUAAUUAAGGAAACAAAAUAACUUGCCAAAUUAUAUUAUGCUUUUAAAAUAAAAAAUAAAAAAUUAAGUAAAUAAAAAUAACAAUAGUUCUAAAAAAAUAUUGUUUAAAAAAAAUAUUUAUUUUUAAGAUUUAGAGUUUAGUGUUUAAGAUUUAUAAUUUAGAAUUUAUCCAAAUGUUUAGUGUUUUUCCAAGGGUUUAGGGUUUACCUACGGGUUUAGGGUUUACCCAAGGGUUUAGAGUUUACCCAAGGGUUUAAGGUUUUCCCAAGGGUUUAGGGUUUAGGAUUAGAGUUUAGGGUUUAGUGUUUUGUUGACAACAUGUUUAGUGUUUUUCCAAGGGUUUAGGGGUUUUACCCAAGGAUUUAGGGUUUACUUAAGGAUUUAGGGUUUAGGAUUUGAGUUUAGGGUUUAGUAUUAGAGUUUAGGGUUUAGUGUUUUGUUGACAACAUUUUUUUUUUUUGAAUUCGUUUUUUAUAUAUUAUUUUUAUUUAUUUUUAAAUUUUAUUUUGAAAAAAUAAUAUAAUUUGCAAGUUAUUUGGUUUCCUUAAUUAAAAGAUACUAGAUUUAAAAUGACAACUUUCUAUUGGUUGGUGAACCUAAAGGUUCACCCUAGGGGGUGAACCCAAGAAUAACUCUUUAUAUAGCUUCAAAACCCAAUUUUUUUUUUCAGAAAAACAUUCUUAUCUCACCAAAUGUAUAUUUUUUAUUCCUAAAAACCUACCAAAACCGAUUGGAAAUCCAGCUUAUAAAUUGGUACAUUGAGGUGUGCGGUCGAGUGAAUCUGAUUAAUUAGCCGAGGAUCAUAAAUGAGUUUUUUGGGGGACUUAGCAAGGAAUUUUAGAGUAGAUAAAAGACCAUGGAAUACGAUUGUGACUUUUUACUGGUGCAUAAAAUUUUUAGUCACUUCUAAAAUCAGCAGGAACCAGAUUAGAGAAGCUUACUCCCUCAACACAUGGAGCUAAGGGAUUUGGUUUACUCAUGCUACUCUAAUACUUUUUUUUAUGCAAUUGAUUGUGAUGAAGAACAGCCUGGCCACUAGAGGUAAAGAUGAUACAAUGGAAUGCAAACGUGGAUUUCCAAGAGGUCCAAGAAACUCAUCAACGUCUCUUUUUUAAAUGUUCACAUUCUGAAAAGAUAUGGAAGUCGCUCCCAAGGCCUAAUGGACACAGAUUAUACGGCAAAAUGGUCUUCUAUCAUUCAACUUGCAUUAGAUACAUACAUGGACACAGUUAAAUUAUCCCUGCUAAGAUAUGCUCUGCAAAUAAUGACGCAUGGCAUUUAGAUCGAGGGAGAGAAAUUUAAGACACCAUGGAGAACGACCACUGUAACGAGAAUGCCUAAUAAUUGGAGACGACAACUUGAAAGAAGCACUAUUCACUUGGUACUCAACACGGCCUUAAAGAUGAGUCUUAAACAAACAGUUUUUGAAAUCUGUUUUUCUUAGUAGUUGCAUUCUCCAGCACUCUUAAGCACUUGAUGUACAAAGUUUUUGAGUGAAUACAUUUUACAUUUAUUAGAAGAAAAUGAUCGAAUUAACAGGUUUCAGAUAUCAUACAUUAAAAUCUUUACAGGUUUUGGAUGUUAGUUUUGAUAUUAUUAUUACAAUAAUCGAUUUUGUGGACGAAACCCACCAAUCACAAGCCUCGGAUCUGAUACUAUGGGGUUCAAAAAGUAGCACAAGCCAAACAAAGCAUCGAGAAGUUUCCACAUCACGCCAUUAAAAAUAGCCACGUUGUUUCGUUGAGUUUGGAGACUCUAAAUCUUCCUUUGUCAUGAUACAGCACAUUAACUCAACGGUACCAACAUUGAUAACCAUGGACCAUUGGCGCAUUUUUUUGCAUGUUUUUUUAGUGAGCCCCAUCACACAUCAUGAAUCAAACCCAAAGCCCUUCUGAUGAUAACAACACCAAGCCGACCAGAACCGGAGAGAAGUCCACAGAACCGGAGUGGAUAACCGAAACGACCAAUGGUGGAUCCACACGCCACGUCGAUCUCCAUACAGGAAUCAACGGCUGGGCUUCACCUCCAGGAGACGUUUUCUCUGUCCGAUCCGCCGACUACUUCACCAACAAACAGAAAUGUCCCGGCGGAGACUACCUCCUCUCUGCCGCCGGCGUUGACUGGCUCAAAUCCAGUACCAAACUCGAUAACAUCCUAGCUCGUCCCGACAACCGCGUGUCUCACGCGCUCAGAAAAGCGCAGUCUCUUGGCCGGUCCCAAAACGGCUUCAUCUUCGCUGUGAAUUUUCAUAUUCCAGGCAAGGAACACCACCACUCGGUGCACUACUUCGCGACGGAGGAACCCAUUCCAUCAGACUCUCUCCUGAAACGGUUCAUAGACGGAGACGACUCGUUCCGUAACGAGAGGUUCAAGAUAGUGAGCCAAGUCGUGAAAGGGCCCUGGAUAGUUAAAGCGGCGGCAGGGCAGUUCGGCGCGUUCCUUGCGGCUAAGACAGUGAAGUGUACUUACCAUAAAGGACCAAACUACUUUGAGAUCGACGUCGAUACAGGUAGCUGGCCAAUCUUGGCGGCGCUUGUACGGCUUUUGUUCGAGUACUCCAGGUACCUUACGGUCGACAUUGGCUAACGUGGUUGGGGCAGUCGAUACAGGUAGCGGGCCGAUCUUGGCGGCGCUUGUACGGCUUUUGUUCGAGUACUCCAGGUACCUUACGGUCGACAUUGGCUACGUUGUUGAGGCGCAAGAAGAGGAUGAGCUGCCGGAGAGACUGAUCGGAGGCAUUAGAUUGUGUCAUAUGGAGGUAUCGUCGGCGUUUGUGGUCGACCCGCAGCCACUGAAACUGUACAGAAUGAUGGGUUCGGCGGAAGCAAGCCACGACGACAACACGCAUUGAAUUAAUUUCAAGUAAUUUUUAAUAGAAAGAUUAAAACAUUCAUAAACUGUUAUGGACUUUUUUUUGUCGGCAACUUUUUAUUUAUUAUGAAUAACCCAUAAAGGAACUGUUAUGAAAAAGAAAAAAAAAUAACCCAUAAAGGCUGCACACUAGUUGUCAUCGUGUCACGAGACCAAGGAUAGAGUACAGCCACGUUGCCUGUGUAAUGGUUAUUUUAUGGUGAUGAUGAUUGAGACGUGUCACAUUGUUCAAUCUCAUAAAUUGUUAUGAAUAAACAUCAAAUAAAUAAAAUCAUAAUUGAAAAAAAAAAAAUCAUAAUUAUAUUCUCUCAUUUUCAAGUUUAUUAAAGCCAAUGUCAACUGUUUUUUGUUUGGUUCAUAUACUUAAAAUUAGCCGAAGUUGUACGUAGUUUUUAUUCUUUCGAGUUACGAAUCCAACUGAAAGCUGUCUCUUACUAUUCGAUGGAAGUAAAACAUUACGAAUCCAAUACUACCAGACUGUCUGGGCCCUCUUUAGGUCGGCUAACGAACAUCUGUUAACAUUAAUUUGGUUACUCAGCACCAUCAAAGCUGUUAACAAGUUUGGACUCACUUCAGAAAAUAAAUGCGACAGCCACCACAAAAGCUUACUGGACAUGCGUCUAGUGAAAAUCACUCCUACAUAAUGGUAUGAUAUUUUUUGUGAUCACACACAAGACAAGUCACUCUUUACUUUUUGAUGAUUCAGAGGUUUUGAAUCCCUAUGUAAAUAUGUAAUAAGCUUUUGGAAAAAACUCAAUCAGUCAAUGGUGGAGCAAAUCUAACCCGAUAAGCUGGCAACUGAGAAAAUGGUGGAUAGGGCCAAAAACAAAGGAAACAUCCCUUAUUAGCAUUAAUUCGAGCAUAAGCAUCUAAAUAUUCAAUCACAAAUUCAUCAAAAAACAUCUAUAACGCAAAUAUCAGAUCAGAACAAAACAUUAAGCCCAAAUCCAUGUCACGACGUUUCCUCACUGAGGUUUUUGUUUGGGAGGCUGACGAUCAGAGGCCAAUCUGUAAAUCCAGUAAACCUACAAAUCAAAUAAACCAAAACAAGAUCAACGAUCGGUGAUGCGAACAACAUAUAGACCUCUUAUUCGAAAUAGAGAGCAGGUUAAGUUACCAAGGCGAUGACGUGAGCUGCGGCUAGGAAAGUUACCAAAGCCGGCACUAGAUCCACAGACUUCUCCAUCGCAGGCGAAGCGAAAUAGACUCUGGAACGGAUCGAUCUGGCUCUAUACUUCACCGAAGUUCCUCUGCCGGAGACGACUAAGAUUGUAUAUGUGAGACAGCGAGAGAGAAGAGUCGUCGUCGUCGACUUAUCUACGCUUCGCCGAUUUAAAAUAUAUCAGAACAAUGUUAACCUCACUCCAGUUAUGUUGAACGUAUGGGCCUUAACACUGAUCCGGCCCAUAUAACUUCUCCAAGUAACAUAAACGCCGACGAUUGCCACGUGUCUUCCACGUGGCGCAUCGAGCCCUACGUGGAGAGAUACUCAAAGUCAUAUUGGCGAUCUCGGUUGCGCAUUUUAGCGAACAGUUUCUGCGCAGAAGAGCUACGAGUGUGUUAAUGGGAUUGUCGCACACUGCUCGAGUGAAUAUCGUGUUCUAGCUUUUAGCCGAUGAGGAAUGUCGUCGUUGCUCUCCGCCGUCACCGCCGUGUCUCGCUGUUCCAGAGAGGUUCGUAUUUCUUCCCUUUUCGGUCUCGCAUUCGAUGGCAAAUUUGAUGUUUCGUCAAUAGAUUCUAGGAAAAAUUGCGAUUGUGAAUCCACUUGAAUUGUGAUUGUCACGAGCGUGGGAGAGAUUUGAAAUAUGGAUAUUAGUUUUGUUGAUGCUGAUUACUCUCUGCUUUGUAACUCCAUGGUUUCUCGAGCUAAGCUUCAGUGAAUUUUCUCUCUUAUCUUUGCUAAAUCAGCUCAGGGAUGUAGAGAAGUUGUGUAGUAGGUUAAAUUGAAGAUGAUGCUGAUAUUUUUCUCCUUUCUGAAAUUAUUUUAUGUUGAUGAGAUUGUUUCUAGUUGUAGCUUCACGUGAUGACCAACCUAUUUGCUCCAAGCUUGUGGGAUACAUAUCGAGAGGAAAGGAUGGUGAACUUGGAAGACGGACUAAUACAUGGAUUUCACCAUUUUACUUGCAACACAGAACGUGAGUUCUUGAUCAUCAUACCGAAUAAUAUGUGGAUUAGUGGAUACACAACCAGUACUGAGUUCAUCUUUUUCUUUGAAAAAUGGGCUUCACAGGUAUUCGACCGAAUUCACCAGCGUUCAUGGUGGAAGACCUACGGCAGAGUAUGCAAAGUUGCGGAGAGAAUCCCUUGAAACCGAAUUUGGACAAGCUCUUGGAGCGUAUAGCUCGAAAAGUUUCUCUGCAGUGUAUCGUUUUGGCCCCUUUUUGGCGCUAUAUAGAGCUGCGAUCAUUUCGUUCUAUGUGGUGAAGCUUACCUUUUGGCAGCUGUUUGUUCAGGAUAUGAGGAAACGGGCUGUCAAGGUCUGUUUACUCGAGCCUUUGAUGAUCUGUUGUUUAAUUAGAUGAAAUGAAGAGUACUCUUUGGACAUAUGGUUCGGCCAGUAAUUAAUUUAGUGGUAUUUUAUCACAUUUUGGAUGCAGUUCCGUGAGACUCUUAUCAGCUUGGGGCCUUUCUACAUUAAGGCAUGUUUGUUGUUCGCUUUUUAUUCCAGUACUCCUCUAAAUCUCUUCCUCUUCUUCUCUUGAAUCCUCACAAAAUAAUACACUAUUUUGGGCUGCAGCUCGGACAGGCGCUGAGCACAAGAGCAGACAUAUUACCCUCUAUUUAUUGUCAGGAGCUUUCAAAAUUGCAGGUAGCCAAUCUUUCUUUCUUUCGUUCUUUCAAAUUAUCCAUAUAGUUGUGCUGGAAUAAUUGGAUAUUGGAUAUUGUUUUUUUGGAUUAUUAUAGGAUCAGAUUCCUCCAUUUCCAAAUAGCGUUGCCAUGCGAUGUAUUGAAGAGCAACUGGGUGCUCCAGUGUCAAAACUUUUUGCCGAUAUCAGUCCUAAGCCUGUUGCUGCUGCAUCUCUGGGCCAGGUAUACAAAGGUUAGACACCUUUUUAACUGUGGUUGGAUUUCUUCUCUCCGGUGUCUGAUGCUAUCCUCGCCAUUUUUCUCAAUUUAGAGUUACUAGAAGCUAAACGUUUCACCUUUUCCCUUCAAGUAUUGCAGCUCAUCUGCAUUCUGGACAGUUGGUAGCUGUGAAGGUUCAGAGACCUGGAAUGUCACUCUCACUAACACGUGAUGCGCUCUUAUUCCAUAUGAUCGGGGGACAACUCAAACGAUUUGCAAAAGCCCGUAAGGAUCUUUUGGUAGCAGUGAAUGAAAUGGUGAGUCAAUUAUCUGAAACGUUAGGACUAGUUCUCUGCUUAUAUAUAUUAUGCAAACGUGCUUAUGUCUCUCUGGAAUGAACAGGUCAGGCAUAUGUUUGAUGAAAUAGAUUACGUUCGAGAGGCAAAAAAUGCAGAACGAUUUGCUUCUCUAUACUCUUUCGAUUCAGGUAGGCUCUCUUGUUUCGAAUUGUGCAUUCUCUUGAAAUACCAUUGUCAGGUCCAUAAUAUCUUUAAAUUUUGACAGCGAAUGAUCAGGUUAAUGAUAACGCUGCACCUAGGAAUAUGUCCAAGAAUCACAGAGCAGAGAACAUUAAAGUCCCUAAAAUAUACUGGAAUUUUACACGCACCGCGGUUCUCACAAUGGAAUGGGUCGAUGGCAUAAAACUAACAGAUGAAAUUAAGCUGAAAAGGGCUUCUCUUGAUAGAAGGGACUUGAUCGAUCAGGUAAAUAACUAACUGAUAACUAAUUAUGCUAGGUUAAUGUCCUCACAUAGUGAAAAAAUUAAUCUCUGGACAGAAACUUGGUGAUUCUGAGAGAUUGGUCUGGGCUUAGUACUGCUAGUUUCAUGAACGUUCAACUGAGAGCCUUGAAUUGAUUUGUAUUACAGGGCCUAUCAUGCUCGUUAAAGCAGCUGCUUGAGGUUGGAUUCUUUCAUGCUGAUCCGCACCCAGGAAAUCUUGUGGCUUCUAAAGAAGGGUCUCUUGUUUAUUUCGACUUCGGGAUGAUGGGGAAUAUCCCACGUCAUUACCGUGUGGGACUUAUUCAAAUUGUAAGCUCUACUCCAGUUUAUCAUUUCCUUUUCCUCAGUCUUACAUGCGUGUGGUCUCUCUAGCCUCUCUCCUCGAUUUUGCUUAUAAAAUAUACUACAUGCAACGUCCUUUUUUGUUGAAGAUGGAGAAUAAGAACUUUUCCAUCGAAGAUCGUUAUUUAGUUGAUUUUUGAUUAGUUCUAUUGCGGUUGCAGCUGGUGCAUUUUGUCAACCGUGACUCUCUAAGUUUGGCAAAUGAUUUCCUUUCAUUGGGUUUUUUACCUGAAGGAGUCGAUAUACAAGCAGUUUCAAAUGCUUUACGUUCUUCUUUUGGUUCUAGUACAAGAAUUUCACAAGAUUUCCAGGUAUGUCCUUCUUCAUCUUGUAAUGAAUAUUAGUAAAUUACACUCAACCCUACAGAAUAGAUUCUCCAACUCACCGAUUGUCCAAAACAUUUGAGGGGUGCUAAAAUCUGAGAAAGAUAUCAGAUUACUUUUCCAACGGUUAGAAACCCAAUCAGUAGCAGAGUUGGUGAUAGUUGACAGAAUUUUCCACCGUGAUGAUUACUUUGUCCUCUCACAGUGCCAUAAUCCUUACUAUCUUUACUGUGCAGGGGGUUAUGGAACAACUGUAUGAUGUUAUGUACGACUUCAAUUUCUCACUGCCUCCAGAUUAUGCUCUUGUGAUAAGAUCCCUUGGUUCACUAGAAGGUACUGCAAAGAUUCUUGAUCCAGAGUUCAAAGUGAUAGAGAGCGCGUAUCCAUUUGUGAUCGGGAGGCUAUUAGCAGAUCCAAGCCCAGAUAUGAGGAAGAUUCUAAGGGAACUUGUCAUUUGUAACGAUGGAUCAAUAAGGUGGAAUCGGCUUGAACGCUUGGUACGUUCACACAACUCUCCUCUUUACGAUUUAAUUGGUUAUUUUUUUUGUGAAACCGAGUAAUCUGAAGAAUGAGCUAACAAACAACUCACUCUUUCAGGUAGCAGCGAUAUCCGAACAGGCUUCUGUGACAUCUGGAGAUUCUCCAGAAGACAAAACGUUGAAGAAAUCAUCAGAACUGAAAUCAUUCGACAUGCAUUCAGUAGUUUCCGCGACAGAAGAUCUGCUAUUGUUCAUAUUGUCAGAGAAAGGGCAGAGAGUUCGGGUCUUCCUUCUUCAGGACAUAAUCAGAGUGGUUGAUAUAUUCCUGGAAGAAGGGGUUCUUGAUCUGAACAUGAAGAAGAAGCAAACCAUCAAUCUUAGGGUCAGUAAUCAUCAAAACCUUUAAACAAAAAUCCUCUCAUUGGAUUCUGAAGAAACUUUUAUUAUUAAGUCUCAUCAUUUUACUCUCUCUCUAUGUAUAUAUUCUCAGGACGAAGGGACGAUGAAAAGAGUGAGCAAUGGUUUCAAAUGUGUGAGCGAGGCCGUGAAGCUUGCACCAGGAAUGUGGACAGCAAUGCUUCUUCGGAUGUCAAGGAAGCCUGAGGUUCACAGUUAUGCUUUAGAUAUAGUUUCUGCACUGUGUACACAUUUAGGCCAGAAAAUGCCUAACAAUUGUUGGAUCCUUUUCUCCAAACUGCUCCAUCACAACAAGAAGAGCCAAUAAAUUAAUUUUAUACUCACUUAUUUCAUCUUAUUUAUUACCUACUGCUAGAGAAUAUACACCAGGAAUAUGUAACAGUUUAAAAUAUCCGUCUACGUGUCAUUUUGGAGAUCUGUGGUUGAACUGUUUUUUAUUUGACUUGCAAGUCCAUAAAGCUUUCUAUAUUUAGCAAAGACCAUAGGCACCACUGAUCCUUUGCCGGAAAAAGCUGAACACCAUCGCUUCCGGAAAACGUCGAACCGCUGCUUUCUGUUUCCUUAUUUGGUUUCCUUGGACUAUGAAACCUCUCUCACCCUUCUUUCUCUUCUCUCCAAGCCAUCCUCUCUGUAAGUUUUUGAAUUCAUGUAUGCUUAACAUCAUUACCAGAUUCUGUUGCAUUUGAGAAUUCUGCAAAAGGAAAAAGAACAAUGGGAUAUAAGGACUUGGUACUGUCGUAUUCGAAUAAGAUGCGGGUUGUUGAAGCCCCAGCAAGUGGAGGCGGUAUCAGGUCACACUUCCCUCUUUCUCUCUGUUCCAUCUCAACAUGAGAUUGAUUCUUUGCUAUCCAAUUGUUGUUGUUGUGUGGCUGAGGUUACUUAAAUGAAUAGAGUCAUUUAAAACUCUCUCCAUCUGCUCCUUCAAGAUCUUCAUACAUUUUUGUUUUUGAGUGAGAGCUCUCCUUAACAUGACUUUAUUGAUCAACAAUGUUCCCAUUCAUUUUAACUUUCAGCCAGAACGAAAAGUUUAGCUAUGGGUAUGCGAGCUCCGCUGGAAAGAGAUCAUCCAUGGAAGACUUUUUCGAAACAAGAAUCGACGGUAUCGAUGGAGAAAUCGUUGGUCUCUUUGGAGUCUUUGAUGGUAUUCUUCUGGACCACCCAUCUCUCAUACCAUAUGGAACGAGCAAAUCUGAAUAAUAUUCCUUGCAGGACAUGGAGGAGCCGCAGCAGCUGAGUAUUUGAAGCGUCAUCUUUUCAGCAAUCUUAUCACUCAUCCUAACUUCAUUUCCGACACCAAAUCUGCCAUAGGUCUCUUUACUUCCCCUCUAAUCUUCCUUUGUUUUCCAACUUAAUCAUUGUUUGAUCUAAUUGCUUCGUUUUUUUUUUCUUUUUCCUUCCAGCUGAUGCCUAUAAUCAUACAGACUCUGAACUUCUCAAGUCAGAAAAUAAUCACACUAUAGACGCUGGUUCAACCGCGUCUACUGCUAUUCUCGUUCGUGAUCGCUUACUUGUUGCAAACGUUGGUGAUUCCAGAGCUGUUAUCUGUAGAGCCGGAACUGGUACACUAUCUUAUUGAGAUCUGUCAUAACUUAUGAUACUGUGAAUGUUUUUUAAUGAGAUGUUUUGUAGCCUUUGCUGUGUCAAGAGACCAUAAACCUGAUCAAAGCGAUGAGCGUGAACGCAUUGAGAAUGCUGGUGGUUUUGUCAUGUGGGCUGGUAAUAAAAAAGAAACUGUUAGAAUUAUUACUUCUCACUUCUUUUUUUUUUUACUGCAUAUAGUCCUCUGAUUCCUAGAUUGAAUAGGGACUUGGAGAGUUGGAGGAGUUCUUGCAGUUUCUCGUUCCUUUGGUGAUCGACUUCUGAAAGAGUAUGUUAUUGCUGACCCUGAGAUUCAGGUACAUAUGAUGACUUCACUUUCAUAUGAAUCUUACCACAUACAGAUCUACUUGUGUUCAAAGUGUCAUGUCUUCAUUGCAGGAAGAGAAGAUUGAUGACUCUCUUGAGUUUCUGAUCCUUGCCAGCGAUGGACUUUGGGAUGUUUUCUCUAAUGAGGUUUGUGAAUUUGACUUAUGCUGUCUUAGAUGAAUGAUGAUGAUAUAAAUCUUACUUUCUUUGGUGUGGCAGGAAGCUGUUGAAGUGGUGAAAGAGGUUGAAGAUCCAGAGGAGUCAACCAAGAAACUUGUGGGAGAAGCAAUAAAGAGAGGAAGUGCUGACAAUAUUACAUGUGUAGUCGUACGUUUCCUGGAGAGCAAGAAUGCUCAUACCAAAGCAGAUGCCAGCUCAACCCAGGAAAUAGCAACCAACGGCCAAACCGUAGUUACAAGUGAUGCGGAACACAAUGUCUCAGCCAAUGAAACCAAUCAAGACCAUACCGCAGUACUCAGAGACUUGGACCGCAAUGCUGAAAAUGAAAGCCUGAACCAAAAGCCAAUUGCAGCUGGAAGAAGCGUUUCUUCAGAAGAGAAUACUUCAGCAGGGGAAACGAAUCAAGUUCCAAACGCAGUUCACCGCGGCUCAGAGCCUAAGAGCUCCUCCAAGCAACCUUCCCAAGGUUACAUCACAGUGCACAACAAUAUGGACGAGAGCGUUGCUAAUCAGAAGCCUGUCAUAGCUGAGAAAAAGGCGAUUGCAGCAACCAACACCACCUCCUCAGAACAGAGCGGAUCAAUAGGUGAAAAUAAUCAAAAGCCAACCGCAGUUCACAGCGACUCCGCCACAAGCAAGUCAAGUAACGUCAACUCUAAUCACUAACUAAAAUGUCAUUUGUGAAUCAAAAUUUUGCCCGAGAGAAACUUCUCUCAUCAUUGUAAGUUUCUUUUCAUUGCUGUUUUUUUUUUUUUAAAGUUAUAAUUCCAAAUAAUGUAAUGUUCCUUCUGCCUUGUGCUAAACUUGUAAAUCUUAUAAAGUUGUUAAACUACUCACUCUUAUUUUUAGCAUGGGAUGUUACAGUCUUACCUCUAUCAUUAAGCUGUAAUAAAAUUGCAUGUUGCAUUUGGUGUUUAUGUCUAGAUAUAUGAAGUCUACAUGUAAGAGACCCCAAUAUGAUCUUUAGUCUCAUGUUUAAGAUCAUUAAUGUAUAUGUAUGCUGAAACGUUAGAAUCAGAUAGGUGAAAAUAAAAAACACUGCAUAGACAAGACAACAUGUUCAAAAUCACAUUAUCAUAUAUACAAGACAUAAGUUACAUAUAACACCACACAACCCAUUCUCUUCUACUCCCUCCCUUCCUCCACCAUACCAACAUCAACAUAAACAAAACAACUCUUAAAAGAAAAAAAGUUUGUUAAAACAUUACUAAAACGACGACACCAAACAAAACCCACAUAUGAAAAGAGUAUCUCUCUCUCUCACAGCAAUCUCUAAAAUGUAGGUACAAGUCCAAACCCGCUAAAGAUACCGCCAUGACCAACAACCACGUCGUUGCUCUCACUCGUAUCCGUCCGCUUCGCAAACCUUCCCUUGAUCCUCGGCCUCAUCUCUGCAUACGCUUUCCUCGAAGCAUACCUUAUCGUCUUCUCGAACUUCCUGUUCUUCCUCUUCUCUCUGUACCUCAUUACUCUCGCCUCUCUCUCCGCUGCCGUUAGCGGCACUGCCCUCUGAGUUCCCGGAUCGGUUACACUGGUUGCAGCACCACCGUAAGGGUAUGAAAUGUCAGCUACUGAGCCACCAUCUGGCACCACUCCCACUUCCAAUGAGGAUGACGAUACCUGCUGUAACAAACAAAAAACCUUGGAUUAGUAACAACUCUUACAAUAAAACGU